AUGAACCAUGUUUUACACACAUUUAAUUAAUUAAUUAUGGCUGAAGUCAUUCACUGCUAGCCAGCAACUGCUUUAUUAUACACAAACCUGACCACCUUACAAAUACCACACUGGAGUGCUAAUGAGCUAUUAAGUGGGACUGCACGUUACCAGCAAUUUUGUGGGAAAUCAAGUAAUAAGAGAUCAAAUAUCAAAUAAAAGAGCUUUUAAUCCAAGUGAGAUAAUUAAUUGCACCUCCUGUCUCACAGCUUUCCUAAUACUUUACAAGAAAAAAGAAAAAGAGCUUUCUCAUCAAGUUAAUUUGAUCUUAUUGCCAAAAAGUUUUUUUAAAUUAUGAGUGCCAUUUAGCAGGUAUGACGGGAAUUAUUAUUUACAUAGUGCUUUCUCCUUGGGAUUCGAACGUACCACACAGACAUCAUUCAACUGCCCAGAAAGACAGUCGCUGAGCCCGAAGAGCUGAAGCAACAGGUGGGAGCAUCAGCACACUGAAGGUGAAGAUGAGGAUGCUGCUGGGGAAGAGGAGGCUUCUGCUUUAAGAGUUAUUGCCUUGUUCACAGGAAAUUCACUUCUGGAAAGCAAGCUAGCAGAAGAGCAAGGCAGAGGCAAACGUUGGCUGACACCUGGCUUUGCAAAAGGCUUGAGCAAUGCACCUACAGUAAAAGUGAGCUAGGAAUAAG
This 677-nucleotide long non-coding RNA is filed under the name Anser brachyrhynchus (Pink-footed goose). RNAcentral describes it as "lncRNA (ENSABRG00000002189.1)". Lineage: Eukaryota; Metazoa; Chordata; Aves; Anseriformes; Anatidae. The record is from RNAcentral.